ACUCCUACGGGAGGCAGCAGUGGGGAAUAUUGCACAAUGGGCGAAAGCCUGAUGCAGCAACGCCGCGUGAGCGAUGAAGGCCUUCGGGUCGUAAAGCUCUGUCCUAUGGGAAGAGUAAUGACGGUACCAUAGGAGGAAGCCCCGGCUAACUACGUGCCAGCAGCCGCGGUAAUACGUAGGGGGCAAGCGUUAUCCGGAAUUACUGGGCGUAAAGGGUGCGUAGGCGGUUUAUC
RNAcentral lists this ribosomal RNA (233 nucleotides) under uncultured bacterium. RNAcentral describes it as "partial 16S ribosomal RNA". It matches the Rfam family "Bacterial small subunit ribosomal RNA", at positions 335 to 584 of the family's 1533-position model. The record is from RNAcentral.